This 433-nucleotide ribosomal RNA is filed under the name uncultured bacterium. Its description in RNAcentral is "partial 16S ribosomal RNA". It matches the Rfam family "Bacterial small subunit ribosomal RNA", at positions 29 to 507 of the family's 1533-position model. The record is from RNAcentral.
AACGAACGCUGGCGGCAUGCCUAACACAUGCAAGUCGAACGAGACCUCCGGGACUAGUGGCGCACGGGUGCGUAACGCGUGGGAACCUGCCCUUAGGCUCGGAAUAACUCUCCGACAGGGGUGCUAAUACCGGAUAACGUCUUCGAAUCAAAGAUAUAUCGCGCUUGUGUGGGCCGGCGUUGGAUUAGCUUGUGGGGAGUGUAAAAGCCUAUCACGGAGACGCUACAUAGCUGGUCUGAGAGGAUGAUCAGCGACACUUGGGCUGGGACACGGCCCAGACUCCUACGGGAGGGGGCAGUGGGGGAUAUUGGACAACGGGGGAAAGCAUGAACCAGCAAUGCUGCGUGAGUGAUGAAGUCCUUAGGGUAGUAAAGCUCGUUUACCCGGGAUGAUAAUGACGGUACCGGGAGAAUAAGCACCGGCUAACUCCGUG